This 250-nucleotide ribosomal RNA is filed under the name uncultured bacterium. RNAcentral describes it as "partial 16S ribosomal RNA". It matches the Rfam family "Bacterial small subunit ribosomal RNA", at positions 524 to 773 of the family's 1533-position model. The record is from RNAcentral.
UACGUAGGUGGCGAGCGUUGUCCGGAUUUAUUGGGUUUAAAGGGUGCGUAGGCGGCUUUGUAAGUCAGUGGUGAAAUAUCUCAGCUUAACUGAGAGGGUGCCAUUGAUACUGCAGAGCUUGAGUACAGACGAGGUAGGCGGAAUUGACGGUGUAGCGGUGAAAUGCAUAGAUAUCGUCAAGAACUCCGAUAGUGAAGACAGCUUACUAGACUGUAACUGACGCUGAGGCACGAAAGUGUGGGGAUCAAAC